This 272-nucleotide ribosomal RNA is filed under the name uncultured bacterium. Its description in RNAcentral is "partial 16S ribosomal RNA". It matches the Rfam family "Bacterial small subunit ribosomal RNA", at positions 333 to 621 of the family's 1533-position model. The record is from RNAcentral.
GGCGUCCUACGGGGGGCAGCAGUGGGGGAUAUUGCACAAUGGGGGGAACCCUGAUGCAGCGACGCCGCGUGGGUGAAGGAGCGUUUCGGCGCGUAAAGCCCUAUCGGCAGGGAGGAAGGAGGACGGUACCUGACUAAGAAGCCCCGGCUAACUACGUGCCAGCAGCCGCGGUAAUACGUAGGGGGCAAGCGUUAUCCGGAUUUACUGGGUGUAAAGGGGGCGCAGACGGCAGCGCAGGCCAGGAGUGAAAGCCCGGGGCCCAACCCCGGGGC